Molecule: non-coding RNA, 21 nt
Filed under: Arabidopsis thaliana (thale cress)
Lineage: Eukaryota; Viridiplantae; Streptophyta; Magnoliopsida; Brassicales; Brassicaceae
Source: RNAcentral
GCCGCCCGCGACGUCGCGAGA